This 804-nucleotide ribosomal RNA is filed under the name Pezicula cinnamomea. RNAcentral's name for it is "eukaryotic LSU rRNA". It matches the Rfam family "Eukaryotic large subunit ribosomal RNA", at positions 109 to 930 of the family's 3401-position model. Lineage: Eukaryota; Fungi; Ascomycota; Leotiomycetes; Helotiales; Dermateaceae. The record is from RNAcentral.
UCAAAUUUGAAAUCUGGGUCUUUUAGGCUCCGAGUUGUAAUUUGUAGAAGAUGCUUUGGGUGCGGCCCCGGUCUAAGUUCCUUGGAACAGGACGUCAUAGAGGGUGAGAAUCCCGUAUGUGAUCGGUGGCUUGCGCCCGUGUAAAGCUCUUUCGACGAGUCGGGUUGUUUGGGAAUGCAGCUCUAAAUGGGUGGUAAAUUUCAUCUAAAGCUAAAUAUUGGCCAGAGACCGAUAGCGCACAAGUAGAGUGAUCGAAAGAUGAAAAGCACUUUGGAAAGAGAGUUAAACAGUACGUGAAAUUGUUGAAAGGGAAGCGCUUGCAACCAGACUUGCGCGGGGUUGAUCAUCCGGGGUUCUCCCCGGUGCACUCGGCCUCGCUCAGGCCAGCAUCGGUUUUGGUGGUUGGAUAAAGGCCUUGGGAAUGUGACUUCUUUCGGGGAGUGUUAUAGCCCUCGGUGCAAUGCAGCCUACCGGGACCGAGGACCGCGCUUCGGCUAGGAUGCUGGCGUAAUGGUUGUAAGCGACCCGUCUUGAAACACGGACCAAGGAGUCUAACAUCUAUGCGAGUGUUUGGGUGUCAAACCCAUACGCGUAAUGAAAGUGAACGGAGGUGAGAACCCUUAAGGGUGCAUCAUCGACCGAUCCUGAUGUCUUCGGAUGGAUUUGAGUAAGAGCAUAGCUGUUGGGACCCGAAAGAUGGUGAACUAUGCCUGAAUAGGGUGAAGCCAGAGGAAACUCUGGUGGAGGCUCGCAGCGGUUCUGACGUGCAAAUCGAUCGUCAAAUUUGGGCAUAGGGGCGAAAGA